RNAcentral lists this ribosomal RNA (253 nucleotides) under uncultured bacterium. Its description in RNAcentral is "partial 16S ribosomal RNA". It matches the Rfam family "Bacterial small subunit ribosomal RNA", at positions 524 to 776 of the family's 1533-position model. The record is from RNAcentral.
UACGAAGGGUGCAAACGUUGCUCGGAAUCAUUGGGCGUAAAGCGCACGUAGGCGGCUUUGCAAGUCGGACGUGAAAUCCCUCAGCUCAACUGAGGACGUGCAUCCGAAACUGCAAGGCUUGAGUGCGGCAGAGGAGACUGGAAUUCCUGGUGUAGCAGUGAAAUGCGUAGAUAUCAGGAGGAACACCGAUGGCGAAGGCAGGUCUCUGGGCUGACACUGACGCUCAUGCACGAAAGCGUGGGGAGCAAACAGG